CGGGGUGUAGCUUAGUUGGUAAAGCGCAAGGCUGGGGGUCUUGAGACCCAGGGUUCGAGUCCCUGCACCCCGACCA
This 76-nucleotide transfer RNA is filed under the name Candidatus Peribacteraceae bacterium. RNAcentral's name for it is "tRNA-Pro". It matches the Rfam family "tRNA". Rfam says of the family: Transfer RNA (tRNA) molecules are approximately 80 nucleotides in length. Their secondary structure includes four short double-helical elements and three loops (D, anti-codon, and T loops). The record is from RNAcentral. Lineage: Bacteria; Candidatus Peregrinibacteriota; Candidatus Peribacteria; Candidatus Peribacterales.